This 75-nucleotide transfer RNA is filed under the name Omnitrophica bacterium GWA2_41_15. Its description in RNAcentral is "tRNA-Thr". It matches the Rfam family "tRNA". Rfam says of the family: Transfer RNA (tRNA) molecules are approximately 80 nucleotides in length. Their secondary structure includes four short double-helical elements and three loops (D, anti-codon, and T loops). RNAcentral also lists the same sequence under 1 other name. Lineage: Bacteria; Pseudomonadati; Candidatus Omnitrophota. The record is from RNAcentral.
GCUGGCGUAGCUCAACGGCAGAGCAAUGGUUUUGUAAACCAUAGGUUGGAGGUUCGAUUCCUCUCGCCAGCUCCG